UAGGGAAUCUUCGGCAAUGGGGGCAACCCUGACCGAGCAACGCCGCGUGAGUGAAGAAGGUUUUCGGAACGUAAAGCUCUGUUGUAAGAGAAGAACGUGUGUGAGAGUGGAAAGUUCACACAGUGACGGUAACUUACCAGAAAGGGACGGCUAACUACGUGCCAGCAGCCGCGGUAAUACGUAGGUCCCGAGCGUUGUCCGGAUUUAUUGGGCGUAAAGCGAGCGCAGGCGGUUUAAUAAGUCUGAAGUUAAAGGCAGUGGCUUAACCAUUGUUCGCUUUGGAAACUGUUAAACUUGAGUGCAGAAGGGGAGAGUGGAAUUCCAUGUGUAGCGGUGAAAUGCGUAGAUAUAUGGAGGAACACCGGUGGCGAAAGCGGCUCUCUGGUCUGUAACUGACGCUGAGGCUCGAAAGCGUGGGUAGCAAACAGG
This 429-nucleotide ribosomal RNA is filed under the name bacterium. Its description in RNAcentral is "partial 16S ribosomal RNA". It matches the Rfam family "Bacterial small subunit ribosomal RNA", at positions 355 to 776 of the family's 1533-position model. The record is from RNAcentral.